Molecule: long non-coding RNA, 711 nt
Organism: Hibiscus syriacus
Lineage: Eukaryota; Viridiplantae; Streptophyta; Magnoliopsida; Malvales; Malvaceae
Exons: 4
Source: RefSeq, a predicted model, not a curated record
AUAUACACAACUUAUAAUACUUCUUCCUCUAGUUUCACCUCCUCCAAACAAACCCUAAAGCCUACAGCUUCAGAAAUCAAUCCUUUCGACCAUGGCGGAUGUGGAGACGGAGGUUGCGGCGGCCGGAGUGCCCAAAAAGAACAUUCAAGAAGUUCAGCUUCAGGGGUGUUGAUUUGGAUGCUCUCCUCGAUAUGUCCCCGAUGAGCUAGUCAAGCUCUUCCCUGCACGUGCUCGCAGAAGGUUCCAGAGAGGUCUCAAGAGAAAGCCCAUGGCUUGAUUAAGAAACUUCGCAAGGCGAAAGGGAGGCUCCACCCGUGAGAAGCCAGAACCAGUGAGAACACCUCCGAAACAUGAUCAUUGUACCCGAAAUGAUCGGUAGCAUCAUUGGCGUGUACAAUGGCAAGACUUCAACCAAGUGGAAAUCAAGCCUGAAAUGAUUAGUCAUUACCUUGCCGAGUUCUCUAUUUCAUACAAGCCUGUUAAGCACGAGACCGGUAUCGGUGCUACUCACUCUUCGAGGUUCAUUCCUCUGAAGUGAAGACCUUUCCUCCAGCUUGGAUCCUCAGUAUGGGGUUAGUAUGACAUUGUUUUGUUGCACUUUUGGUAAUGAAAAUUUUACCCUUUGCUUUGGACGUUUCAUCAUCUAGUUUUAUUGCAGUUGAAGAUGUCAAUGUUUUUGUUUGGUAAUUUCAUUGGCUUUUAUUUCAUAUA